Molecule: ribosomal RNA, 391 nt
Filed under: uncultured bacterium
Lineage: Bacteria
Description: bacterial SSU rRNA
Rfam family: Bacterial small subunit ribosomal RNA
Source: RNAcentral
CAGAGACGCGAUUGUGCUCGAAAGAAAGCCAUAACACAGGUGCUGCAUGGCUGUCGUCAGCUCGUGUCGAGAGAUGUUGGGUUAAGUCCCGCAACGAGCGCAACCCUUGCCAUUAUUUGCUACAUUUAGUUGGGCACUCUAAUGAGACUGCCGGUGACAAACCGGAGGAAGGGGGGGAUGACGUCAAGUCCUCAUGGCCCUUAUAGGUGGGGCUACACACGUCAUACAAUGGCUGGUACAAAGGGUUGCCAACCCGCGAGGGGGAGCUAAUCCCAUAAAGCCAGUCGUAGUCCGGAUCGUAGUCUGCAACUCGACUACGUGAAGUCGGAAUCGCUAGUAAUCGUGGAUCACAAUGUCACGGUGAAUACGUUCCCGGGCCUUGUACACACCG